GAAAACCAAGAAAAAUUUCAUUCUGAGUAUAUACAGAACUGCUGGGAAGAGAUCAUUCUAUACAUGUAGUACAUAUGCAAAUAUCAUAUAUGAGGAAGUAUGAGUUAUUACACAAUCAUUAAUAACUAAGCAUGCCAAAUCAGUCAUCAGGUUUCAAAGAAUCAUAGCCUUGUUUCAAGAGGUCCUGCCAGGUUUUAAGGAAACAUGCAUUUUCUGUACAUUGGAAGACAAGCUAUUCCACUUGAGCUGGUACUGCAGAUGUGACCUCAAGAAAUUUGGUUAAUGAAAAUGCUGCAUCUCUGAUCUGCAUCUCCACUUUCUCCAGCAGGUCUACCAUUUGGCCCUUGUUCCUGCUCAGAACUGGCCAGCCCAAACUCACUGGUUGCGUGGGAAAGAUGCUAAAAGGUGUUUGAAGAUGAGGAAGAAAAGGGAAGUUCUGGGAGCUGGUGAAGAAACCCACAACUCCUCAAGGUCAGCCAUGGGGAAGAGCUAGGAGCUCAGAAUCCAACCAGCAAGAGGACAUUUUAAAACAGCUCUGGGGAUGCCAGGCAAGAAGGAGAUGACGGGGUAGAUAAUGGUUACUUUGUAAUUUUCUGGAAGAUCAUGCUGGUUCUACUAGAAGACUUUUACCUCACAUGAUUGGAUGCUCCUCAAGCUGAACUUCUUCCAUUUGUGAUA
Molecule: long non-coding RNA, 678 nt
Filed under: Homo sapiens (human)
Lineage: Eukaryota; Metazoa; Chordata; Mammalia; Primates; Hominidae
Description: PREDICTED lncRNA (TCONS_00251351)
Source: RNAcentral